This is a non-coding RNA of Drosophila melanogaster (fruit fly), 440 nucleotides long. The record is from Ensembl. Lineage: Eukaryota; Metazoa; Arthropoda; Insecta; Diptera; Drosophilidae.
AUGUGGCUGGCUGGCUGGCUGGCUGGCUGAAAAGUUGCCGAGCGGCGAGCAGUGAACAUGGAGCGCUUUGGGCCGACGCAAUCGGCUACGACAAACAUUUUGGCCAAGCUCCCCAGCAUCACACAUUUAACCCCUUCCACAACUUAAUGACUUUGGGCCAUCUGACGCGGUGUUGUAAGUGCUCGGCGCCAAAAUGUGGCUGCGGUUCAAGAUCCGAGAUUCGGAAUUCGAGAUCGGAGAUCUGAGAUCUGAGUUCCGAGAUCCAAAGCUGACACCCAGCUGAGAUCAUGGAAAUGAGACUUGUGGAGCUAAGUAAAUAUUUGAACUUUCGGGCUGGCAGCGGUUUUUGGGUGCGCUAUAAAGUUGCAUGUCUACGUAUUGUGACACCUUCAAAUAUACCGAAUAAAUAAACAAAUUCUUCAGCGAUUAAGUCAUUUGAU